CAGGAGAAGAUGAUAGGCGUUCCGGAAUUACAAGGAAACUAUGAAGUUCACUAUUUAGGGAAAGUAGAGUUUCCCUUUCUGUUAUUAUACAUCAAUUUCCUUUAAGUGAACAUAAUUUGAAUCUGUCCUUGUUGACAAAUUUCUACUUGAACCUUUUUUACUUGUUGAUUCAAUGUUGAACAUUAUCUACUUGAAAGGAUUUAAAAGGAUGUUUCUGAUUAGGUUUAAAGUAUUUCUUAGCUACAAUACAGGAGGUCAAUAGGCUUUGACAUUUGUAGUCAUUCAGAAUCCUCAAAGUCAACACAAGCCAACAGGUCUAUUUCCUUUAACUUUCUAAAGGUGAUUGGUUUAAGAAUAUAGCUGCAUUACAGCCUGCAAUGUUGUAUAAUCAAAAUUAGUGAUAUGGGAUAUAGAACAUAAUCUUUCUCCAACAAGCCAUGUUUUCUUGCCCAGAAGCAUUUUCUUUGAUAGAGCAAUUGGUUUAUUCAUUCAAAUCGUAGGGUCUUAAGACAGAAAAGGAACUUUAAUGUUCACCCACCACAUGCUACUAUAUCUAGAACAAUGGUUUCCAAUCCUGGAUGCUCAGAAUUUCCUGGGGGAGCUUUUAAAAAUUGCAUAUGUCUGGGCUCCACUGCUGAACUACCAAAUCCUAAUCUGUGGUCGUUUUAACUGAGGCAUCAGUGUUUUUAAAUCCAGCCUCUCUCCCUCCAAGACGCUGAACAACAGCCAGGAUUGGUGACCACUGACUUGGAAUUCGGAUUCACCUCUACUAUUGAAACCUUGUUACUGAGCAGUCAGGUUCAAGCAAUGUGACUCAUAUAUAAAAGAUACAAUUUGUAAUAUGACCUCUGAGGCAGUAUUUAUUUGCUUUCCUGUUUCCGGUACAAGAUGAUUUUUGUUUUUCUUUUCUCUACAGCCAGGAGAAUAGAAUUCGACUCAGCAAGAAUAAGGUCUUAGUUGAGCGGAGAGAGAGGAUAAGAGGCAAGACACCCCUGAUACCACCCUUUCCCUCUCUGUUCCAGGGAAAACUGGUAACAUCCUAUGUAACCCACUGGGAUGUGAUCAGAAACUAGAGAGCUGACCCACUAGAUCCUAAAGGACUUUGUGCCUUCUGACAGCCAAAUCAUUGGCUUGAGCAACAAUGUACUUCCGCCUGAGGAGUGGGCUACAGAGUCACUGCCAGCCUGUAAACCCUGAAGCAUUGUACCAACUUAAAUUUAUAUCCAGUAUAGUGGAUUUACUUAUUGGCACCUGCAAUAUGUACUUCUUAAGACUCAGAAAUCAUGUUGUAGCCAUUAACUUAAUGAGAUAAUGAAUAAUUAUUGAGCUUCUACUUUUGCCUGACACUGUGGUAGGCAUUUUUGUGAACAGAGAAUAGAAAUUAAGCCCUGAUUUCAGAGAACUUCUGUGUUAUGCACCUGUGUAAAAUAAUGGGAAAAAAAGUGAGUUGAACUCUGAUUAGUGAGCAGAGAUCUCUGGGACUUUGGACAAUGAUCAAAACUGAAAGUACAUAUAGCAGAAUAAAAAUAAUAGAAUUGGACCAAAACAAAGACAUAUUAGAAAGGAUCUUGAGAAUCCAACAGAAGAAGUUACACUUGCUGCAUUGAGUCAGUGGGGGAUUUGGUCCAAUGCCCCAAUGAUACACGAAGGGGUAGUGAAACUUGAGGAUAGGGUAGGGCUGUGUGAGGAAGGAAGGCUGUUGACGUGACUCAGGCAGAGGUAAUCACAUGAUGCUGUGGCAAUGGUAUUCCAUUUUGAAUGGGAAAAAAAUGAUAGAAUUAGUCUUUGGGAAUGGAGAACAAAGAAUAAUGAGUCAAAGGAGAUACGAGAUUUUUAGAGUAAAUGAGUGUAUAGACAGUCAUGGUGGGAAAGAACUCAAAAGUCUGCUUUUAGACAUACAGAGUUUUAAGCCAUACUAGGAUAUCUAAAUAAAAAUUUCCAGCUGGCAGUCAAAGAUGAGAGGCCGGAGUCUGAAUAAAAGAAGAGAUCUUGAGUUUUAGAUUAAGAAAGAUCUACAAGGAAUAUAGUCUGAAAUGAGAGGACUGAUGGAUUCUUUAAGAAUGAAAACCUAAGAAAAACAGAACAAGAGAUUGCAGUCUGGGGAAUAGCCUCCAGAGAAGAGAUCAUCAAUAAGUUCUAGAUGUUUGUGAGAGAUGUGCUGGUGUAGUUAUUUAUAAGUGUUAAUAACUCCUAUGUAGUUUUAGUGUGAUUGAAAUCUCAGACUUUUGCCCAGAGCAACUCCAUCUUGUGCUAUCGAUUCGAAAUUUUCCACACAGAAUAAAGUACCUUUUGCACAUUAUCUUAUGUUGACCAAUUAAUUAGCUCUAACAGGACGUUUUUUAAGGGGAGAAAUGUAUACAAAAUGGGGAGAGGCAGUUACUUUUUUAAACUGUGACCUUUAUUUUUCAUAUUUUAUUCAUCAUUUUUUAGCAGAUAAGGUUAAACAUCUUGUUGUUCAAACUGUAUUACAAAUUUAUUGAAUUUGUGGGAAAAACAUUGAAACUUAACAGUAUUAAGCACUAUAAACAUAUUAUUUAUUUUUAAUCAACAUAUCAUUAUUUGUUCUCCAAUUACCAGUCAGUCAUAGCUCUCUGUAUUAUUCCAGAUUGUGAAAUACAGAGCAAGCCAAGGUGCAUAACAGAGAAUCUAUGUAAUGGAAUUCAACAGGAAAUAGCAGAAAAUAGUCAUUAACUUUCUUUUAGACUUUAAAUAAUAUCACUAACUUAUCUGCGCCAAUUUCACCUUAUCUAUAAAACGGGCCUAAUGAGAACUGACACGCUCACCUAAUAGGUUUCUUAUGAAGACUAGAACUAAAAAAUGGAAUAACUUCCUCAUAUAGUUUGGCUAUGUCCCCACUCAAAUCUCAUCUUGAAUUGUAGUUCCCAUAAUUUCUAUGUGUCAUGGGAGCAACUAGGUUGAGAUAGUUGAAUCAUGGGGUCAGUUUCCCCUAUCCUGUUCUUGUGAUAGUGAGUUAGUUCUCAUGAGAUCUGAUGGUUUGAUUAGGAACUGUUCUCCCCUUCACUCAUUUUUCUCCUUUCUGCCAUCAUGUGAAGGACAUGUUUUCUUUCCCUUCUGCCAUGACUGUAUGUUUCCUGAGGCCUCCGCAACCAUGUGGAACUGUGAGUCAAUUGAACCUCUUUUCUUUAUAAAUUAUCCAGUCUCAGCCAGUCCUUUAUAGCAGCAUGAGAAUUAACUAAUAUGCUUUCUAAGCCAUGAAGCCUAUAAGCAUGAAAACCAUUACACUGUAAAUGCUAUGGUCACCAGAAAGAGAUUCAGCUAUUAGCAAAAUGGUAAAAUAAGCAAAGGAGUGUUUGCAGGGCAAAUCCCCAAGCAACUCUGAGGGAUUCUGAUUGAGAGUGUGACUGAGAUUUUCUAAUUUUGAGCUUCCCUCAAAAGGAAGCACUCAGAGAAGGGUUUUUGCUCAGAUUGUUUACUUGGAAAGCACUGCAAGGGAGUGGGAAAGGAAAACAGGGAGGGAGAAGAGUCAUAAAGGUGGCACGAAUGAGGUUACUACUGUGAGCAGCAGAUGCUCCAUCUCACUGGGGACUAUUUGGGACACUCCUGAAAAUUUUCCACUAGGGGGUAAUAAAUGUCAGUUACUUAGGCACCAACUUCCAUUGCACCCUGGGAGGGUUACUCCUAGGGUCUUUGCAUCCAGGCACUUCUAGGCUGUGUUGAAUGACAGAAAGCCAUGGGGAUGUACUUAAAUGUCUGCUGGUGACCUCCAGGAUAGGUCAAUGGCGUUUAGAAGGGGCAUCUGAGCAUCUGCUUUACAGUCAAACAGACUUUGUUUUUAAUCCUGGAUCUCCUCCCCAUAAGCUGUUCUGUGUCAGCAUAUCACUCAUCUGUCUUAGCUUCAAUUUCUCCAGCUGCAAAUUGGAAACAACAGUAGCUACCUUGCAGAAUGUUAAAGACAUUAUUACGCAUUCUUUCAAUGGCAUGGGUAGUAGCCAGUACUAUUUUAAAAUAUCCAAUGUUCUAGGAAAAGGCUCAUGCUAUAAAGGUCUCACUUCAUCAUCCAUGCUGGAGUGGAAUGGUGCAAUCACAGCUCGCUGUGGCCUCGACCUCCCAGGGUCAGGUGAUCCUCCCACCUCAUCUUCCCAAGUAUCUGGGACUACAGGCAAAUUCCACCUCAAAAUCCUUGAACUUUGGCUGGGUGCAGUGGCUCACACCUGUAAUCCUAACACUUUGGAAGGCCGAGACGGGAGGACUGCCUGAGCUCAGAAGUUGGAGACCAGCCAGGCCAACAUGGUGAAACCCUGUCUCUACCAAAAAAUACAAAAAAUUAGCUGGGCAUGGUGGCAGGCACCUGUAAUCUUAGUUACUCCGAAGGCUGAAGAACGAAAAUCACUUGAACUCUGGAGGCAGAGGUUGUGGUGAGCUGAGAUUGCACAAGUGCUGUCCAGCCUGGGUGAUGGAGUGAGACUCUGUAUCCAAAAAAAAAAAAAAAAAAAAAAAUACCUGAACUGUAACUUCUGUCUUCUGAACAUGAAGAGACCGCUGUGCUCUGCUAUGUUUCCCCUUCUGACAUUGCAUUAUCAAAAAUUCAGUCGGGCAAAAAGCCAUAGUGACAAAUGGACUGAACUCUCUUACUUCUCUCCUCUUAAGGAUCACUUUCUUUUGUUUCUUGUUUUCAAAUGUUUGAGAACAGCCAUUUCAUUAUUUGUCCAGCCUUUUACUUAUCUGUAGUUAUUGGGCAAUGUAUUAAUUGGCAGCGCUGUCAUAACACAGUAGCGGAGACUGGUGACUUGAACAACACAAAUUGAUUUUCUCACAGUUCUGGAAGCAAAAAGGCCAAGAUCAAAGUUUGACAGAGUUGGCUUUUUUUGAAGCCUCUCUUCUUGAACGGUAGAUGACCACCUUCUCUCUGUGUACUUACACAGUUGUUUCUGUGUCUGUGUUCUAAUUUCCUCUUCUUGUAAUAUUGGAUUAAAGCCCAGUCUAAUGACAUCAUUUGAACUAGAUAACCUCUUUAAGACCUUAUCUGUAAAUACAGUUACAUUCUGAGCUAUUGGGGAUUUAUGUUUCAACAUAUGAAAUUAUUUUUGGGGGGAGCACAAUUUACUCAUAAUGAACAGUCCAGUAAUGAUUAUGCUUUCAUACCAGCAACAGAAUUUUUGAAAGCUUGCUAUUUGCCAGUCAUUUUAUAAACAUGUUGCAGACUUUAACUCAAUUAAUUCUCCUAAUGUCCCUGUCACAUAGACAUUAUACACUCUAUUUUAGAUCUAAGGACACUAAGCUUCAAGAGUUAAGUAAUUUGCCUAAGGUGCUGUAGCUAAUAAGCAGAAGAGUCUGGAUUUGAAUCUAAGUAUUACUCCAAGGCCCUGGUUCUUAACCACUAUGCUUUGCUUUCUUUUAGGGCACACAUGAAAGGCAAAACUAAUGUCUCUAGAUUAUAUUCUUGGACCUGUGGGCAGAUAUUCCUAAAAUGCCUAGCCUUGAAGCUUAACGGCAUACAGAGUUUUACUUCUUAGCAACUCACAAAUUUUCCCAUGUCAGAAAACAGAAAAAUAUUAGAGUAUAAUUCAUUACUCAUAUGAAAUAAACAUCUUUCAUUUUGUCUCUCUCACUCAAACUCUUACUUUAUCUAUAUUUACAUAACUUUCCUUAUGAUAUUCUUAACAUAAGCAAAAAUUGAGAAUUUUAUAUAAAUGAAGUGUCAAAUAGCAUAAUGAUCCAGCAUAUGUGGAGUAAAGUUUGCUUUAUUUCUAAAUUAUCAGUUAUAUGUGGAUAGCGGGCCAAAGAUAACUCUCAUCAUUUUGGGAGUUAAUUUAUUCAUCAGUCAAAUAAAAGCAUUCAUUUAGGCAUCAGUAGAAAUAGUUAGACAUUGAUUUUUCAUGGGCCCAUUUAUGUCAAGGAUAAUCAAUGAUUAUAAAUACAUUAUGACAGAAAUGCCUCCUAUCUUGAAUAAUAAAUUAGACUAACACUUGACAUCUAAAAUUUAGUUUUUAAGUAUCUUAUGACAGCAGGAGUCUUCUGUGUAAAAUAAAUAGUUAAUAUAUGAGGCGAAACCGACAUAGUAGUAUGCAGUGUGGAUUCUAACGUUGAUACGCCAGUUUGGGCACUGUAGUGUGAUUUCUACACAGUUCAUAUUUUCAUAUGCAUCUUGAGCUACUGUUGGUCAAAUGAGGAUGGGCCUAAAGGGCCAGAUUCAUUGGGGUUUGUCUUAUAGAAUUGGUCUGAUUUUAAAUAUAAAUAUUUAUUCAUUAUUAUUCUUGCUCAAAGAAUUUCUUUCAAUAUGUGACUAAAAUGUUAAACAUUAUGUUCAUGAAGACAGAAAAAGAGGUAAAAAUAAAAGUAAAAAUUGCUGUCAGGCAUCAGAGUAUUUAAAGAAUACUCCACUAUCAAAGCUCUUUACUCAGCUUGUUUUGUAGACUAAUGAUAAUCUAGAGAUUCGACUUGUUCACGGAAAGUACGGCUUCUGGUGCGCCAAUAAUGAAAACAGGAGCUUGAGACAAGGACUAAGAGGUGAUCUGGGUGGUGAUCUCAGGAAGCAAGAAUGAGGAAUUGAGAAGAGGAAAACAGAGAAGUUAGCAAAGACAAUAAGGGUGUGUAAUUUGUUUGUCACUGCAGAUCCUGGAAACUGAGUCCUACCAAGGAACCUCUGAGGCACCAUGUAGAGAAUUCCUUAGUUUCCCCUCUGAAGGAUUGCAGAAUGUGGGUAGUAUUUUUCUGUCAACAAUCAUGCCCCAUUAAUUGAGGGUUGUCCCCAGGGGCAUUAAAUUCCUCUCAAUUCUGGUCUGUGCCUGGUUGCUGGAAGAGGAGACUUUCCAGUUCCUAGACAAAGCCCUGGGCAGAAAAACAGGUGAGCUUCAAGGGGAUGACAUCAGCGGCCAGUGCAAGAAACCAUCCACCAUGGCUCCUCUGAGAUCAGUGUUGGGAUAUAAUACAGAGCAUCAAAAAUAUCUGCAACAAAUAGAGUAUUUGCUUUUUCAUUUGUAAAGUGUAGGAUUUCUUUCUGAGGGUAAAGUUCUUCCUGAUGAGCAUGGUCCUUCUCAGUGAGGCACAGAGCACUGCUGAGUAGGAGCAUUUGUCCAGUCUUCUAAUGAAAGAUGAGAAUGCAAUUUUAUCUUUCUCCAGCCAUGGUGCCAUCUGGAUCUGGGAUUAAUGACUGUAGAGAUGAAACUUUAAAGCAUUAAUCCCAGUGCAAUGGCAAAUGCACAAAUAUAAACAUAUGUGCAAAUGGGGGUUAAAGACUAUUUAAUGAUUUUAAGAAACCUGGAGGGAGUAUAUUCAGUGUGGCCUUGUGAGCAGAUAAAAUAGGUGACCAUUUACAACCUAUGUAUUUGGAGAGCGGCCAUGCCUGGAGAAGAAACACCAUUCCAGCACUUUUCUCAUCUUUAAAUCAGGGGAACUUCAUUACAAUAACAUUUUUAAUGACCUUAAUUGACACACAAUAAACUGCAUAUCUUUAGACUGUACAAAUUGCUAAAUUUGAUAUGAAUACACCUGUGAAAGCACCACCACAAUCAAGAUAAUGAAUGAAUCAAUAACAUCCAAAAGUUUCUUUAUGCCUCUUUGUAAUCCCUUGUCUGCCCUAAUGUCUUCCCAGGAAACCACUGAUCUGCUUUCUAUCACUGUAGAUUAGUUUAUAUUCUAGACAAUGUAUAUGAAUAGGCUCAGAUAGUAUAUAAUCAUGUUUUAUCUUUUCUUACACUCAGCAUAAUUAUUUAGAGAUUAUGUUGUUACAUGUAUCAAUAGUUUUUACUUUUUAUAUCUGUAUUUUCCAUUGUAACAAUAUGCUACAAUUCGUUUAUUCAUUAAUCUAUUUAUGUACAUUUGGAUCUUUUCCAGUUUCUGGCAAUGACAGUAAAACUGCUUUGAAGAAUUAUAUACAAGUCUUUGUAUGGACAUACGUUUUCUGUUCUCUUGGCUAAAACAGAAAUGGCUGAGUGAUAUGGUACGUGUAUGUUUAACUUUUUAAGAAACUGACAGACUGCUUCCAAAGUGGUUACAUCAUUAUACAUUCCCACCAGCACUGUAUAAGAGUUCCAGAUGCUCCAGUCAUUGCCGACAGUUUGCGUGGUCAGUGAUUUGACUGUUAGUGGGUAUGUAGUGUUAUCUCAGUGUGAUUUUAAUUUGCAAUUUCCUGAAGACUGAUGAUUGGGAGUAUGUUUUAAUGUGUUUAUUUGCCAUUUGUAUAUGUUAUUUACAGAAGUGUCUAUUCAAGCCUUUUGCCUGUUGUCUCACUGUGUUGCUGGUUUAUUAUUGAGUUUUGAGAGUGCUUUAUAUCAGUCCUGUGUAAGUAACUGAUUCGCAAAUAUUUUCCUUCCAGCUAUGCUUUGACUUUUCUUUCUCUUAAUAGUGACUUAUUAAAAGCAGAAGUUCUUCAAUUUGAUGAAAUCCUACCUUUUGUCUUAUGAAUUAUGCUCAUC
Molecule: non-coding RNA, 8375 nt
Organism: Callithrix jacchus (white-tufted-ear marmoset)
Lineage: Eukaryota; Metazoa; Chordata; Mammalia; Primates; Cebidae
Source: RefSeq, a predicted model, not a curated record